This is a non-coding RNA of Apis mellifera (honey bee), 76 nucleotides long. The record is from RefSeq and is marked provisional. Lineage: Eukaryota; Metazoa; Arthropoda; Insecta; Hymenoptera; Apidae.
CUCGGAAAAAUUCGGGCGGGCUCGGGCGAGAUCGCGAUACCUCGUCCGAUCUCGCCCGAAUUUACCCGACUCGCUU